RNAcentral lists this long non-coding RNA (930 nucleotides) under Sus scrofa (pig). Its description in RNAcentral is "lncRNA (ENSSSCG00030072967.1)". The record is from RNAcentral. Lineage: Eukaryota; Metazoa; Chordata; Mammalia; Artiodactyla; Suidae.
GCCUUUCAGAGAGGUGCCUCCGUGAAAUUAGUUUCCAUCAUGUGACGCUGCUGCCUUGGUGUUGAGCAGUCAGUUAUGCAUAUUGAAGGUGUGCCCAGGGGCCCAAAAUAACUCAGAGGUGAGACAUGCCUUGGCCACAAACAGCAACGUUCACGAUGACUGUGUCAAGUACUGACAAUGCUGGACUCAGAGCAGACUGCAGAGAAUCCAUUGUUAAACAUUUGUCAGCACACCCAUGAGUAGAAGUCUCAGUUUUGCUCUCAGAGAGGCAUAAAUUCUGACCGACUCCUGGCUUUGGGAAAGAGGUAUUUAAAAUUCACUAGACUAUAUCGGAGGAAAUGCAGCAUCCACCCCAAUGACUUCUGAUUAUAUGUAAAGAAAGAGAAACAGAGCAAGAGAGAAAAGAGAGAAGAAGAAAAAAGUUCUAGAACUCAAACUUGCAACAGAGAUCAACCGAGAUACCAGCAGCAGAUCCAUUCAUGGAUUGUACCAGUCUGAAGCAAAUCACUCUCCAAGUUUCUAUCGUUGAGGCUUUUCCAACAUUUGAUCAUAGUCAGGACUAUCUUGGAUACUACAAUCAAGUUUUCUCUGUCAUUCAAGGACUGUUGAAUGAGCACUAUCUGAUCCAGGGCAUUGUAAUAAGUGCUGAAGACAUAAAAGGAGGAUUUGGACAUACUCCCCUUGAGACUUGUGUACACUUUUGAGUAUUUUGCUUUACGAUCAAAAUCAACAAUUUCUUUCAAGCUAUGAUUGAUUUGCACAGCCAAUUAGGGCCGAGUAUAUAGACAACAACACAGGCCAACAGUCAGUCCAUAUUUAUUGAGCUUUUACUAUAUGCCAAACAUCAUGCUAGGUGCUGGGGAUGUAGCAAUGAGCAAGAGAGGCCUAGAUAUAUCUUUGAUGCAUGAUACAUUUGUCUGUAUUUUCAGC